This is a non-coding RNA of Triticum aestivum (bread wheat), 134 nucleotides long. Lineage: Eukaryota; Viridiplantae; Streptophyta; Magnoliopsida; Poales; Poaceae. The record is from Rfam.
CAUAUAUUACCUCUGUCUCAAAUUAGUUGUCUUAGAUUUGUUUAGAUACGGAUGUAUCUAACAUUAAAAUGUGCUUAGAUACAUCUAUAUCUGCACAAAUCUAGACAACUAAUUCUGCACGGAGAGAGUAGUCC